This 1209-nucleotide ribosomal RNA is filed under the name Triticum aestivum (bread wheat). Its description in RNAcentral is "partial small subunit ribosomal RNA". Lineage: Eukaryota; Viridiplantae; Streptophyta; Magnoliopsida; Poales; Poaceae. The record is from RNAcentral.
AUGGACGUUAAGACGGCUUUCCUCAAUGGAGAAUUGAAGGAGGAAAUUUACAUGGAUCAGGCAGAUGGUUUUGUAGUACCUGGUCGGGAAGGAAAGGUGUGCAAGUUAUUAAAGUCUUUAUAUGGCCUUAAACAAGCUCCUAAGGAGUGGCAUGAGAAGUUCGAAAGAACAUUAACUGCUGUCGGCUUUGUAGUAAACGAUGGUGACAAGUGUGUGUACUAUCGCUAUGGUGGGGGCGAAGGAGUUAUUCUUUGUCUGUAUGUCGACGACAUAUUGAUCUUUGGAACCAAACUUGAUUUAAUCAAGGAGGUUAAGGAUUUCUUAUCUCGCUGUUUUGAGAUGAAGGAUCUAGGAGUAGCUGAUGUUAUCUUAAACAUCAAGCUGUUGAGAGAUGAGAAUGGUGGGAUCACACUGCUUCAGUCUCACUAUGUGAAAAAGGUCUUGAGUCGUUUUGGGUAUAGCGACUGCACACCUUCUCCAACUCCAUAUGAUGCUAGUGUGUUGCUUCGAAAGAAUCGAUGGAUUGCUAGAGAUCAACUGAGGUAUUCUCAGAUUAUUGGCUCGCUUAUGUAUUUGGCGAGUGCCACGAGGCCUGACAUCUCUUUUGCUGUGAGCAAGCUGAGUCGGUUUGUGUCAAAACUGGGAGCUGAUCAUUGGCAUGCGCUUGAGAGAGUUAUGCGCUAUUUGAAAGGCACCGCGAGCUAUGGGAUUCACUACACCGGGUAUCCAAGGGUACUGGAGGGUUACAGUGACUCAAACUGGAUUUCUGAUGCUGAUGAGAUAAAGGCCACAAGUGGUUAUGUUUUUACACUUGGUGGUGGCGCUAUUUCCUGGAAGUCUUGCAAGCAGACCAUCUUAACGAGGUCAACUAUGGAAGCAGAACUCACAGCAUUGGACACUGCCACUGUUGAAGCAGAGUGGCUUCAUGAACUCUUGAUGGACUUACCUAUGGUUGAAAAACCAAUACCCCCUAUCCUGAUGAACUGUGAUAAUCAAACUGUGAUAGUCAAGAUAAACAGUUCGAAGGACAAUAUGAAGUCCUCAAGACAUGUGAAGAGGAGACUAAAAUCUGUCAGAAAAUUGAGGAACUCCGGAGUUAUUACGUUGGAUUAUAUCCAAACGUCGAAAAACUUGGCAGAUCCCUUCACAAAGGGUCUAUCACGUAAUGUGAUAGAUAAUGCAUCGAUGGAGAUGGGUUUGAGACCCACC